Strongylocentrotus purpuratus (purple sea urchin) is the source of this 995-nucleotide long non-coding RNA. RefSeq lists it as uncharacterized. The record is from RefSeq and is a predicted model, not a curated record. NCBI's taxonomy places the organism in Eukaryota, Metazoa, Echinodermata, Echinoidea, Camarodonta, Strongylocentrotidae. The transcript is spliced from 3 exons.
UCGGCGCGCGCGGAGGCGUAAUGAGGGACUGACCAGUGUCCAGAACUCUUUGCAUCACAGUGACAGUCAUAUUAAAGGAAUUAGCCUUCAUUUGCACAUUCUACAGUUGCUCCAAAAUCUUAAAAGGUGAUUUGGUAAAGUGGUUCAUUCACUUGACUCUCAAUCCAAGGGUUUGGGGUUCGAAUCUCAUUCUGGCACUAACAUCAUUUGGCACCCUCCACCCGGGUGUAAAUGCGUAUUUGGAAAUUGCUGGGUAAUAUGAAAAUUGCAGGGCAAUCAGGAAGAACAGCAUCGGAGCUGGUGAGGCUUCCCUUGGCAAAUAAAAUCAUUGUUGUAAUCAAUUCCUACCGGAAGGCCUCGAGAGGAUAGUUUCGUAAUUCACACCGUUUUGGUAAUUAAGUCGUCUACCAAAUACAAAAUCACCAGGUAUGAUGUAUUUCCGUGUUGACUGCGUACAGGAUAGGCCUAUACUAAUAUACCCGAACUAUAGCCAUAUGAGAUUAUAUCUCAUUGUUGCCAAAUGCUAUUGAAAGUGAAACAGAAGUUCGGUGCGACUAGGCUUUCCAAAAUCUCGGACAUAUAUUUAGGAAUUUGGUAUACCCGAUGAACAAAUGUGUUCCAAGUCACUGCAACAAUAAAUUUCCCUUCUCAAAGAAAUCACUUGACCUCUCUUGACAGCGAUUGAGCUGUUGUGAACAUGGCUUCCGUCGAGAUGUGUACUGUACUCAUAACUUUAUUUCUUGUAGUACACUGUGGGGAAAACUUCGCCAACGGCGUGAUAACAGAUGUACGCCUUUUUGGUGGUCCAAUGCAUGAUAGAGGUACGGUUGAGAUCAGGCAAGACAACGGGACAUGGGAGACAACAUGUGGAGUAAAUCUAGGUAUCAGUGACGUCAUCGUCAUCUGCAGACAGUUGGGAUUCGCAAGAGCGAACAUAGCAAUAAGAGACACACCUUAUGUACAGAAUUCAACUCCCACCGGAGGGCUGCAAUGUC